AGAGUUUGAUCCUGGCUCAGGACGAACGCUGGCGGCGUGCCUAACACAUGCAAGUCGAGCGGGUUAUGAGAAGAAGCUUGCUUUAACUUAUGACAAGUGGCGGACGGGUGAGUAACACGUGAGAACCUGUCAGAUGCAGGGGGACAACAGAUGGAAACGUCUGCUAAUACUCCAUAAGCCGGAAGGUAAAGGGUCAGCCGGCAUCUGAGGGGCUCGCGUUCCAUCAGCUAGUCGGGGAGGUAACGGCUCACUGAGGCAAAGACGGAUAGCCGGACUGAGAGGUUGGCCGGCCACACUGGAACUGAGACACGGUCCAGACUCCUACGGGAGGCAGCAGUGGGGAAUAUUGGGCAAUGGGGGCAACCCUGACCCAGCGACGCCGCGUGAGUGAAGAAAUCCCUCGGGAUGUAAAGCUCUGUUGUGUGGGAAGAUAGAAGACGGUACCACACGAGGAAGCCACGGCAAACUACGUGCCAGCAGCCGCGGUAAUACGUAGGUGGCGAGCGUUGUUCGGAAUUACUGGGCGUAAAGCACACGCAGGCGGAAGUGUAAGUCUGCUGACAAAGGCGGCGGCUCAACUGCCGUAUUUCAGCAGAUACUGCGCGUCUUGAGUAUGUGAGAGGAAAGCGGAAUCCCCGGUGUAGCGGUGAAAUGCGUAGAUAUCGGGAGAAACACCGGUGGCGAAGGCGGCUUUCUGGCACAAAACUGACGCUCAUGUGCGAAAGCCAGGGCAGCGAACGGGAUUAGAUACCCCGGUAGUCCUGGCCGUAAACGAUGGAUACUAGGUGUGGGGCGAGCAGUCGUUCCGUGCCGCAGUUAACGCGAUAAGUAUCCCGCCUGGGGACUACGGCCGCAAGGCUGAAACUCAAAGGAAUUGACGGGGGCCCGCACAAGCGGUGGAGCACGUGGUUUAAUUCGAUGCAAACCGAAGAACCUUACCUGGGUUUGACAUACAAGUGGUAUUGAAGCGAGAGUGGAUAGACCCCUGCUUGCAGGGGAACUUGAACAGGUGCUGCAUGGCUGUCGUCAGCUCGUGUCGUGAGAUGUUGGGUCAAGUCCCGCAACGAGCGCAACCCCUAUGGUCAGUUGCUACCAGGUCGAGCUGAGCACUCUGACAAGACUGCCGCCGACAAGGCGGAGGAAGGUGGGGAUGACGUCAAGUCAUCAUGGCCUAUAUGCCCAGGGCGACACACGUGCUACAAUGGUCGGCACAAAAGGCAGCUUGCUCGCGAGAGUUGGCCAAUCCUGAAAAGCCGGUCCCAGUUCGGAUUGCAGCCUGCAACUCGGCUGCAUGAAGCCGGAAUCGCUAGUAAUCGCAGAUCAGCCAAGCUGCGGUGAAUACGUAACCGGGCCUUGUACACACCGCCCGUCA
This 1372-nucleotide ribosomal RNA is filed under the name uncultured bacterium. RNAcentral's name for it is "bacterial SSU rRNA". It matches the Rfam family "Bacterial small subunit ribosomal RNA". The record is from RNAcentral.